Molecule: ribosomal RNA, 488 nt
Filed under: uncultured Verrucomicrobiales bacterium
Lineage: Bacteria; Pseudomonadati; Verrucomicrobiota; Verrucomicrobiia; Verrucomicrobiales
Description: bacterial SSU rRNA
Rfam family: Bacterial small subunit ribosomal RNA
Source: RNAcentral
AACGAACGCUGGCGGCGUGGAUAAGACAUGCAAGUCGAACGGAGAUUCUUUAGAGCUUGCUUUGAAGAGUCUUAGUGGCGAACGGGUGAGUAACACGUGAGUUACCUGCCCCGAAGCGGGGGAUAGCCCGAAGAAAUUCGGAUUAAUACCCCAUGUGAUCGUAAGAUUAAAGGCGGCGUAAGCUGUCGCUUCGGGAUGGGCUCGCGGCCUAUCGGCUUGUUGGUGAGGUAAUGGCUCACCAAGGCGAUGACGGGUAGCUGGUCUGAGAGGAUGAUCAGUCACACUGGAACUGAGACACGGUCCAGACACCUACGGGUGGCAGCAGUCGAGAAUCAUUCGCAAUGGGCGGAAGCCUGACGGUGCGACGCCGCGUGGAGGAUGAAGGCCCUAGGGUCGUAAACUCCUGUCAUCAGGGAGUAAGGGCUCAUAUAGUAACUGCUAUGGGUCUUGAUAGUACCUGAAGAGGAAGGGACGGCAAACUUCGUGCC